GCGGAGAUGAGGAGAGAAGUUUGCCUGCGGCGCAGUCCACUGAACAUUUACUGUAUUUCAUUUUGGGAACAGCAAAAAAAAAGAGCCUGCGGAGAAGCUUUCCAGGGAAUGCUGAGGAAUAUCCGCCUGCACAGAAAACACUUCUCACAGCCGACUUUUCCCCCCCCCUCUUCUUUAAAACAAGUUACAUUUUAGUCAUCGUCGGUGUCGCUAAACAAGUGGGAAGCCCGGGUCAGUGAGACAGCGGCCGGACGCGAGGGGGCUUUUAAUAUUUGGGGUCCUGGAGCAGAAGGAAGGAGCCUCACAGAAACGAAGGACGAAAGAAAAAGAAAAAGAAGAAGAUAGUCCACGUGAAGGCGAGAAAAGAGCCCGACUCAGAAUGAAUAACAACAAAAUCGAGAAAGAAAACGAGCAGAGUGAAUUCACCAACCACGAAGAGGAGGUCCGAACACUAUUUGUCAGCGGGCUUCCACUGGAUAUUAAGCCGCGGGAGCUCUAUCUCCUGUUCAGACCAUUUAAGGGCUAUGAAGGCUCCUUGAUAAAACUCACCUCAAAACAGCCGGUGGGGUUUGUCAGCUUUGACAGUCGAUCAGAGGCGGAGGCUGCUAAGAAUGCCUUGAACGGCGUCCGGUUUGAUCCAGAGAUCCCUCAGACCCUGCGGCUGGAGUUUGCCAAGGCCAACACCAAGAUGGCCAAAAACAAGCUGGUUGGCACCCCCAACCCCCCGCCCUCCCAGCAGAGCCCCGGGCCACAGUUCAUUGGCAGAGACCCAUAUGAACUCACAGUGCCUGCUCUAUAUCCCAGCAGCCCAGAUGUGUGGGCGUCUUACCCACUGUACCCGGCGGAGCUGUCGCCGGCCCUCCCACCCGCUUUCACCUACCCCUCCUCGCUCCACGCUCAGAUUCGUUGGCUCCCACCUGCAGAUGGAACUCCUCAGGGAUGGAAGUCCAGGCAGUUCUGCUGAAGUUCCUGAUGUGUGAUGGUGGCCGUGGCCGGCUGUGAUGGGCGUUUGCUGAUUGCCUCUCGUGUCCAAUUAGAAAUCAGGAGGACGGCGCUGACUCUGGCUCUCAGAGCAGCAUACCGUCGGCAGCAGCAGCCUCAUGGGCCUCAGGACAUACCAGACCCCAGCCUCCAUCACACAUCGAGCACCCCUACCCUCCCCCCAAAAGUCCCUCCAACUCUUUUUAUACUGUUACAUACUCCAGAUUUUCCUGCAGCGCUUUGGCCACACCUCCUCUGACACCUUAAAGGUACCAAAGGCGCACACACCCUUUGUGACUGCAUCCCCUGGCCAACGGUAGCAGGCCUCUUGCUGUGCAUUCUGUGUAUGUAAGUGUGAUGACGAUUCAUGCAGGAACUUUGCAAGGCCAGAUUUCUGGAAGUGUCGCCAAAGCGCUGCUGGGUAAUGUUAUUAUAUAACUAUAAUUAUUACUAUUCUGUAUAUCAUUCAUAUUAAUGUUAUUAUGAUUAUUAAAUACAUGUUGAAGCAUGACUUUGCAACAAAAAAAAGAUGGAAAAAAAAAACAAUGUUGUACAUUUUUAGAUAUUUUAAAGAAAUACAAAAAAGUAUUUUUGUAAUCAAGACAAUGUUUGAAACGUUUGAUUGGUUCAUGUUGUGUGAGAAACUUUCAUAUGUUUUAUUCUUUUUUUUCGUGCCAUUGUAGAAUGGAAAGUUUCCCUGCUAUACCAAAGCAGCCCUGUUGGUUUUUUCUUGUCUUCACUACAUACUUUGUGUCUUUGUGCGGCGUCCUUCCCUGAAGAAGUCAACAUUAAGUCCUUUGUGGGAUGCGCAAAUUGUCACCUGAUCCAGCUCCUCAUUUUUUCAGUUUUCAGAUAAUCAGUUGGGUUUAAAAAAAAAAAGAAAAGAAAAGAAAGAGGCAUUGACGGGGAAUAAGCCAUCACAAGUGAAGGUAGAGUGACCGUGGAGACUGCAAAACACAGCAACCUGAGCCCUGCUAUAAUAAGGAAUCUGCCUCUUCAUUGUUCAGCAAGAGGACAGCAGUAUAGAGAAACAAAAGACCAAAGGCAUUUUUUUUUACACUGGAGAGCUAUCUAGGCUAGUGGAAUUAUUCUGUUUUUGACUGCUUUGUACUCCUCAAUCUGAUUUCUUAUGAAGUAUGACAUAUUUUUUUUUGCCGCACGUCUCUUUUGGUGUCACUCCAAAGAGCCACUCUGCAUCUGAAAGGAGAUUCACUUAAAGCAAUUUGUCUCUUCUGUCUAUUUUUAGGGAGCCAACCUGCUUUUUGUAAAAAAUUGAAUUUGCAUAACAAUGAUUGGAACGAUCAAAAAGAAAAAAAACUCAUCUUUUGUAAUCUUGCGUCCUCUGGGCCUGCAAUAACGUUUUCGCUGUUUGACAUAUCAUGGAGUGAUCAUAUUUCUGUGACAUUUUGACGCCAAAACUUCUCAUUCAUGUCUCAUUGUCACGAAAACAAAGAGUGAUUCUUGUACUUUUUCUGAUGAGGCUAAGUCACAUUUCAACGGUGAUGUGACAAUCAAAAACCGAAUCACUGCUAUAAAAACAAUUCUUUGUGUAAUCUCUAGCCCAGGUGUGUACAAUCAUGGUGGAGCGGUUGAAUCAUAUAAUCAGUGUUUGUAAUGAUUAAUAUGAAUUAUAUGCACAUAAUAGCAAUUGAUUUUUCUGAAGCAGUUUUUGCUUUUGCAGACAUUUUUUGAAAGCCAAGUGUGGCACCAAAUUUAUUAGAACAAGUAUUUAUAAGGUGUGUGUGUGUGUGUGCGUGUGUGUUUUUAUGGGUACUAUGUUUUUAAAGUUAAUAGAAGAUGCCCAUUAUAUAAUUCAUUGUAAGUAUUAUUGUAAGUUUAAUUGUAUAUUCCUUUGGUAAUUUUCUAGAGCUCCUUUAUGUGUUUGUAUCUGAUAUAUGAAACAUGUUUUACCUACAUAAUUCACUGUGAAAUCCAGAGAAAAACACGCUCUUUGAACAAAUGGAUCUUUCUGUGUGUCGCCAGCAGUACGGUACAGACGUUUCUGGAAAAAUUAAUAUGAUGAUCCCUCCCUUCGGUCAGUGAGAAGACUUCCUUCCCUGUUUCAGUAUAUCAUGUGCGUACCUGUGUGUUCUGUGCAUGUUCACGGCAUGUGUGUUCUUUUCUUUCUUUUUUUCUUAAUGCAUAAAGUACUGUUGAUAUUUAUGUACUUUAACCACUGUGAGGAGAAACUGUAUUUCAGUGAAUUGCAGAGGUUUGUUUGUUUGAAACCAAAAAAAAAGUGAUCAAAAUGAGAAGUUUUUAUGAAAAUGUUAAAUGAAGACAUUUCAGGCCAUCUGCCAUUAAAGAUUGACAUCAAC
Molecule: RNA transcript, 3299 nt
Organism: Labrus mixtus (cuckoo wrasse)
Lineage: Eukaryota; Metazoa; Chordata; Actinopteri; Labriformes; Labridae
Gene name: RNA-binding protein with multiple splicing-like
Exons: 9
Source: RefSeq, a predicted model, not a curated record